UGGGGAAUUUUGGACAAUGGGGGAAACCCUGAUCCAGCCAUCCCGCGUGUGCGAUGAAGGCCUUCGGGUUGUAAAGCACUUUUGGCAGGAAAGAAACGUCAUGGGUUAAUACCCCGUGAAACUGACGGUACCUGCAGAAUAAGCACCGGCUAACUACGUGCCAGCAGCCGCGGUAAUACGUAGGGUGCAAGCGUUAAUCGGAAUUACUGGGCGUAAAGCGUGCGCAGGCGGUUCGGAAAGAAAGAUGUGAAAUCCCAGAGCUCAACUUUGGAACUGCAUUUUUAACUACCGGGCUAGAGUGUGUCAGAGGGAGGGGGAAUUCCGCGUGUAGCAGUGAAAUGCGUAGAUAUGCGGAGGAACACCGAUGGCGAAGGCAGCCUCCUGGGAUAACACUGACGCUCAUGAACGAGAGCGUGGGGAGCAAACAGG
This 429-nucleotide ribosomal RNA is filed under the name Acidobacteriota bacterium. Its description in RNAcentral is "Acidobacteria bacterium partial 16S ribosomal RNA". It matches the Rfam family "Bacterial small subunit ribosomal RNA", at positions 355 to 776 of the family's 1533-position model. Lineage: Bacteria; Pseudomonadati; Acidobacteriota. The record is from RNAcentral.